UAUAGCCAAUUGAGAAAAUCUGAUUCACACUAUAAAAUCAAAGGGAAGCUGUUAAGUAUGUGAAGCUGGUGAGUAAUUGGGCUAAAUAAGAAUUUUCCCCAGGUGAAAAUGGGGACCCGAACUGAAAAUGGAGGAAACCCACCUCCUGAGUCUUUGGUGAAAGAGUGAAGCUACAUUCCAGACUACGACUUUAUGACCUUUCUAUCACUUGGUAAGGAGUGAUCCCAAAAAGUGGCGUGAUCCUUGCAAGUGAGUAAGAUGCCUGCCUUCCUGGAGGCCCGGAGAAAUUGAGGGAGGGAAAGCGUCCUUCAAGAUGCGGCUUCCUUUUUGCAGAAGUGCUACUCUGUUGAAGUUUAUACAGAAUUGUCAGUUAAUGAAGUGUCGUCACAGACCACACUCUCAGCAGCAGCUCAAAACAGUUCAGGACAACACAGAAGAAGGGAAAAUAGAAGGAAUCACGCAAGGCAGUGGGACUAGGAAUCCCUUUUAAAGUUUCUCUAAAUCACUUAAAGUCAUCUAUCCUUCGUCAUGAGAAGAUACCUGUUGGAACAGAAGUAAAGGUAGAUGCAGAGCUCAGACAGCGCUUGAUCACGAGGCUUGCAGACAAUCACUUUCCCAUUCGCUGAGACAAUCAUCUCCUCAGUGAAUGUGAAAAAGCCAGAAAAAACUUCCUAUGGCCGCUCCUGACGUAGGAAGGGUUAAUAAUCACUGGAAAAGGCUUGCCAACAAACUGUGACCCGGAGGUCAGAAGGCCGGUUAGCCAAUGACAGAAAGUGGCUGUCUAUGCUGUAAAGAUAGAGAUUUUUGUUUCUAUGGAACUGAGAUUCAAGGGUGUCACAUAUGGUAAAUAGAACAUGUAUUUCAAAGUCUAAUUUGUGUGUUCAAAAUCAACUGAAUAUAUGUCAAAUCUGUGUAAGAAACAAGUGAAUUCAUAUGCAAUUGUAAUUUGAUAGAAUCUCUAUGAAUAAGAUCAGAUCCUCUGUAAACGGCAAGCUUAGGAGUUUUGUACUAUUAGCUGUAAGAGCCAAGCUGUUUUGGUGAUUUUAGUGGUCUUUAGCUCAUUUUGAGAAAAUAACACUUAGCAUCUUGUUCCACACUGUACCUCUAAAGCAUGUGAAGAUCAAGAGCGUAAAUAUCCAUUUCAUAGAUUUUUUAAAUUAAUUUGGUAUUAUUUUUGUUAUUUUCUCUACAUAGGUCACUGAGUUGCCAUAGCCAAUGGAAUUUUUCAGGUUGCAAAGGGCUUAUCACAAUUUUAUAUCUUUACUUUCUUGUAUUUAUUUCUAGUACUUGGGAAAACUAGUUUAAUAUGGACUGCAUGUGAUGUGGCUCUGGUCAUGGCCAAUGAGGGAACAGAAAAAGAUACAAAGGCAAUAUUUGGAAAAAGGGGAGAAAAAAAGUGGAAAAAUAUUUGACCCCUAUAAGGAAUAGUAAAAGUAUAACCAUCAGGAACUCUAAAUGUUUGGAGAGAAUAAAAUCAUAUAGAUCUGAAAAUGCGGACAUGAGAAAAAGUGCUAAUCUCAAGCAUGUUCAUGUAAAGUAAAGGUGUAGGCUCUUACAGUGCCUCAUGCUGAGCUAGUUAUGUGUGACCAUGUAUACGUUUAAGUUGAUUUAUUAAACCAAUUUCUUUAUCACUUCAUAAUAGCACACAAUAGUGGCAUUUUGAUGCAUCAUGCCUCUUCAGGGUAGCAACCUGAUGCUAGGCUCUAUCUUCACGGUGGAUUUUUCCCUGAUCAGAGUAAUCUUUGCACUUAAUGAAUUUCUCUUAUAACUGUCCUGUCUCAUGACAUGAAUAAGAGUUUAUGCUAUUUUAUGGUUUUCCACCAAGAUCCUUUUUAACCUUCGUUAUUGCAAAAGUACUUAUCUUGAGGAGUCAAAAUGGAAAAAAAGGAACCCUACAAAUUAUCUUGGAUAUUACAAUGUUGGGGGAGAGGCUGAUGUAAUAUAUCUCAGUGUCCCUUUCUUUGUGGUGGACAAAUACUAUUAACUUCCAUUCUGUGGAUAGGAAAAAAAAGUUCUGGAUUAUUGCUGUCAAUUUGUUUAAAAACAUAAUAUUCCAUGGGCCAUUAAGAAAUUGAGAAAUGUUGUGUUUUAUUUCCUUGCUGUGUUUAAGAGAAGUAUAUGAUAGAUCCAUUAAGGGAAGACUAUCAUAAUAAUAAUCAUAACCAUAAUCAUAAGUGACCAUCUUUGUAAAGUGAUUUAUUAUUGACUAAGAUUUUAUCUACAUGCUUGCAUUUACUGUUACUGGCAGGUGGAUAUAGUAUUGACCACAAAGCCUGAUGUCAUCUCUGGGAGUUGAAUUUUAUCUUAUAUAAAUGUCUAAGUAGUAUAUCUAUGUCUCAAGAUGUUUUGGUAAAAUUACACUUUUGUUCCUCUCUCACAACAUUAAUUUGAUGCUUUUAAUGUUUUCUUUUGUAUGCUUUAUUUAAUUUCCCUAAAUACUUUGAGGGUAUUUAUUGUCUUAUUAAUAUUAUUAUCUCUGCAUCAGUUUGUCCAGUGUCUAAAGGAUUGUUGGUGCUUAACAAAUAUGUAUUGAAUUUAAUUUAACUGAGUAGUAGCAUUUUCUUUGAGGGUAAGAUUUUGGAUAAUUUGAUGAGAAAAGCUUCGUGUUAAUUUCUCUUUGGAGGGGAGGGUCUCCAUCGGUAAAUUUUAUGAGAGUUUAAGGGAGGUAUUCAAUUGCCUAAAUCAGCUGAGAAAAUAGUAUCUAAAAUGAAUUAUUUUGUGUGGCAAGGACUCCCUAAAUAAAUAAGAAGAAAUUUGUUUUUUUCUUAUUUUUCUCCUUUAGAUAGCCACAUGAAGUGAACAAGGGGCCUCUCAUAAACUAUUCCAAUAGAGAAAAAGCCUAAUACUUUGAAAUAGUCUUUAGCCAGUGAAGCAUUCUUGCAACACAGGCAUCCUUCUGAGAAGAAUAAAGUAUUGCUUUCAAGUGGGUUAAUGAAGUCAACUGGCACUUAUAAUAUGCUAAGUCAAAUCAUUCUUUUCAACACUCUUUGCUAAUUCCAGAAUUUAAUUUUCAUGCAACUCUAAAAAUUUAACCACAUCAACUUGAGAUCUUAACCCUUCCUGAAAGAAAGAUGUUGUUAAUAAUGACUUUUCUAAAUAAAAUUGCUCAGGUUUAUCCUGAGACAUAUGUCAGUGGUGAUGCUGAGGUAUUAUAUACGUAUGCACACACACAUAUGUAAUAAGUUUGUGAAAAUAUAAAACAAAAUCAUAUUGAUAAUGGUGAUUAGAUAUGCUUUUUAAUGGUAUUUUGUAUGAUCACUCACCAGUUGGUGCAUUAUCUAGACAGGCUCACAAGGCUUUUAAUGGAAGUGAAAAAUGUCCUCCCUAAAACAUGAGCCUACCCCUAAGGAAGUAAAAUGAAUCUCAGUAUACACAAGAAUGGUUCAGCAAAUGCAAUAUG
RNAcentral lists this long non-coding RNA (3400 nucleotides) under Equus caballus (horse). RNAcentral's name for it is "lncRNA (ENSECAG00000045196.1)". The record is from RNAcentral. Lineage: Eukaryota; Metazoa; Chordata; Mammalia; Perissodactyla; Equidae.